UCAUGGAGAGUUUGAUCCUGGCUCAGGACGAACGCUGGCGGCGUGCCUAAUACAUGCAAGUCGAGCGGGGACGCUUUCGGGCGUUUCAGCGGC
Molecule: ribosomal RNA, 93 nt
Filed under: Sulfobacillus benefaciens
Lineage: Bacteria; Bacillati; Bacillota; Clostridia; Eubacteriales; Clostridiales Family XVII. Incertae Sedis
Description: partial 16S ribosomal RNA
Rfam family: Bacterial small subunit ribosomal RNA
Source: RNAcentral